UUGAUUACAAGCUUUAGGGAGAAUUAAAAAUAGCUACUGGUACUCAAAUGGUACUGGAAGUAAAAAAGAAUAAUUAAAAUAAUAGUUCCAAGUGGUUUACAUUUGGACAAAAAAUAAGACCGUAGUUUCAAGCUGC
This is a small RNA of Peptoniphilus lacrimalis 315-B, 136 nucleotides long. It matches the Rfam family "Streptococcus sRNA SpR18". NCBI's taxonomy places the organism in Bacteria, Bacillati, Bacillota, Tissierellia, Tissierellales, Peptoniphilaceae. The record is from Rfam.